This 460-nucleotide ribosomal RNA is filed under the name uncultured bacterium. RNAcentral describes it as "partial 16S ribosomal RNA". It matches the Rfam family "Bacterial small subunit ribosomal RNA", at positions 338 to 795 of the family's 1533-position model. The record is from RNAcentral.
CCUACGGGAGGCAGCAGUGAGGAAUAUUGGUCAAUGGACGAGAGUCUGAACCAGCCACGUAGCGUGAAGGAUGACUGCCCUAUGGGUUGUAAACUUCUUUUAUAUGGGAGUAAAAUGUUCCACGUGUGGGGUUUUGUAUGUCCCAUAUGAUUAAGGAUCGGCUAACUCCGUGCAAGCAGCCGCGGUAAUACGGAGGAUCCGAGCGUUAUCCGGGUUUAUGGGGUUUAAAGGGAGCGUAGGUGGAUUUUUAAGUCAGUUGUGAAAGUUUGUGGGUCAAACGGAAAAUUGCAGUUGAAACUGGCAGUCUUGAGUACAGUAGAGGUGGGCGGAAUUCGUGGUGUAGCGGUGAAAUGCGUAGAUAUUACGAAGAACUCCGAUUGCGAAGGCAGCUCACUGGACUGCAACUGACACUGAGGCUCGAAAGUGUGGGUAUCAAACAGGAUUAGAUACCCGGGUAGUC